UCACCUGAACCUGGAGAGAGGGAUUUCGAUGCUGGUAGGAAACAUGCUGAUUUAUCACCUCCAAGGCAGCGACGGAGACAUCACAGGACACAAUCACCUGAUGCGAAUCCUGAUUCCUCACCUCCUCGUAAGCAGAAGGCUCGAAAUGAUACACCUUCACCAGAUCCAGCAAUGAAAGAUGAUGAUUUGUCACCUCCUCGCAAGUGGAAAGCUCAAAAUGAUACACCUCCACCAGACCCAUCAAUGACGAAUGAUGAUUUGUCACCUCCUCGUAAGCAGAAGGCUCGAAAUGAUACACUGUCACCAGACCCAUCAAUGAAAGAUGCUGAUUUAUUGCCUCGACAGCGUAGGCAAAAUCAACAUUACACCCCAUCUCCAGAACGUCCCCAUGAUUCUAAUACGUCCCCUCCUUGUCGAUCU
RNAcentral lists this long non-coding RNA (420 nucleotides) under Ricinus communis (castor bean). RNAcentral describes it as "long non-coding RNA (RCOM_LNC002920)". Lineage: Eukaryota; Viridiplantae; Streptophyta; Magnoliopsida; Malpighiales; Euphorbiaceae. The record is from RNAcentral.